Molecule: long non-coding RNA, 5632 nt
Filed under: Sus scrofa (pig)
Lineage: Eukaryota; Metazoa; Chordata; Mammalia; Artiodactyla; Suidae
Description: lncRNA (ENSSSCG00000050568.1)
Source: RNAcentral
AAAGAAAGAAGAGAAAACCAUGUUGGCUGGUAUUUCCUUUAAAUAUGAAAGACUUUGAAUAAACAAAUAUCCUACCUCUAUCAAUAUCAGUUUACCUUUUCGAAGCUUGCUAGCAAGUGGUUCACAAAAAAAGUAAGAAAGCCUUCUUUUACUUCUUCAACAGCUAGGUUAUUUUACCAUGUGAAUUAUAUAGUAAGAGGUAAAAGAUUUUCCUUAAUGUAAAACAAAGUUUCUCUAUUAUAGCACAAAAGUACUCUUGCUGGUGAGACAAGCACCAGACUGAAACACUCAACAGAGUGAAUGGAAGGGCAGGAACUCAAAGCUGAAUGAAACUACGCUUGACUGGCUGUGUUGGCCUUGGCCAAGUUUCUUCACUUACCCUGUCUUUGAAAUGGGGACGAUAACCCUGAUCUCAGCAUGUCGCUGUGAUGGUUCACAGGCUGACACCGGGAGGACGCACAGAGUCAGGGAUCUGACCCUCAGUCCUUCCACCCUCUCACCUGCCAGGGGGCACUCAGAUGUGGAAGGGAGCGAUCACAGCCAGGUGAGAAGGACUUGAGCGGGUCCUUGAAAAUGCGUAGGAUCCAGGUAGGCAGAAGGCAGGCAAAAUGAUUAGGACUGGAAGACAUUUGCAUGACUCAAGGCAUGGAGUCUGAAAUAACCAUGAGCGUUUAGAGCCCUUUCCCGUCACUGGUGAGAGGACAGUACCAAGCAGGCUGUAAGGGCACAACAAAUAUCACCUAGGAGUCUUGCUAAAAACUAAAUAGGAGAGACUCCUUUCUCCCCGCUUUCCCGCCCCAGCACACACACACUCAUACACACGGCCCUAGGGAUGAUUUUGAUCCCUCCAUCUGGGGAGAAGUAUUUUAAAAAGCUGGCAACUAAGUAUUUGCUUAGAACUAACCAGAAAGGUGGUUCUGACGCUGAGUCGGGUUUGGGAGCCACUGGGUUUAGCUAACAGUAACUGCGUGAUCUGACAGAGAAGAGCUCACGCUUGGCAGCAGGAGCGUGAGCAGAAGGGCAAACACUGGGGUAGGAGCCUGGAUUCAAAUACCUCUCUGGCCCUCCAUGGCCAUAUGACCUUGGACGGCUACACUCUUGUCUUAUCCUCGUUUGUCUCAUAAUGCGGUAGAGAUCAUAGCACCAACUCUGCCUACUUUAAAGGACUUUGGUGAGAACCUACUGAUUUUAAGCCGCUGUUACAAACUUUAGCGGAGAAGCACCGAACUGCAAAGUGCAACACAAAUAUUCGGGGUCAUCAUUAAUCAUCAUUAUUAUCAUGGGGACCCUGGGAUGCCAGAAUGCCAUGGUCACCUCCCCCCAUCUCUCAAGAUAACCCCAUGGUUAUCUUGAGGCAGCACUGGGGCAGGGCUCUGGAAAGGGUUCCAUAUUGUUUGUUAUGACAUCCGGGAACAGUUACCCCUUCCUCAGGGCUCGACAAUGAUUCGAGUGUGAGUCCUGGAAUCAUCAGGAUCUCACAGAUCUUACAGGUCGUUUGAAUUGUGCCAUGCUCAUAAAUCUAUACAACAACCAGUAGUGGUUACGUGCCUUGAACAAGUUACUCAACCUCUCCAAGCCUUGGUUUCCUCAUGCGUAAAGUGUGGACAGUAUCAGGACUCAGGGCCACCACGGACAAUUACGAAAGCUGUGCUGUACACAGAAGAAGCAGCCAAGGGGGACCAUGGAGGCUGAAAUCCAGCCCAGGGUACACUCACUUUGCCACACACCCAUGGGGCUGCAUUUUCUCAGAGGAGGCACUAUUUUCUAAUUCAUGAGCCAGAGUGGAAGCCUUUUUCUAAAUCACAGCAAGCUGCUAACAGUGACCCUGGCAGUACUUGCCCCAAAGCCUGGGCAUCAAAUGAGACAGCACAUGAAGCCUUAGCACAAUGCCUGGCAUACAAAGGGUCUGAUUCAGGGUAGCUGAAUCUGCCUACAUUUUUACUAUUCUGAACUACACAAACACAUUCUUGUUUGAAGUAGCUUAAGAGAAAAUGAAAAUGCAUGUACUCUUCUUUUUAAUCCAAUUGUCCAGAUACUUUGCAUCAAAUAACGAACCUAACUUUCAAACAAAGGAAAAUGCCCUUUUUUAAAAACCAAAUCAGGAGUUUUAUGUCUAGUUUCUGAUAGUAAAAGAGGAUUGAACCUAUGCAACAUUAUGAGACUAGACUUAGUCAGCUGUAAUGUUCUCUACAGAGACAGAUGGACAUAAGGGUAAGAUAAAAUGUUCGUAGAUUUGUGCUGGAAAUCCCUGGUGAUAAAUGACAGGCUUGAUUGCUACAUCUCCUAAUUUCCUUUUCUUAGUGAAGUAGUCCUAGGUGAGAUUUACCCAGGAAAUAGCCUUCACAGUUUUAGUACCAAUGGUUUAAUGAAUUAACUGAUAAUGGAUAUUGUACAUAAAAUUUUAAUUAAGAAACAGAUUAAUUAAGAAGUUUUCAAAAACAAGCCUUGGAUCUGAAAAUCUAGCACACCCAAUCUCUUUUUAUACCUAACUGCCACAAUGCCUUUAAAAAAAUUGAUUAAUAUAUUUUCUUCAAUAUACAUAAUAACGAAAAUAUAACCAUUACAACUCUGUAAACACCAGGGAUAAUGUUAUUGCCCUUCUUUCAUAAUGAUGCGGUCAGAAUCAACAUACAAUAAAAGAAAACAAACACACUUUCCCUCUUGGGAGCUCACCUUCCCCGAGAGCAAAGGGCACAGAGCAUGUGGACUGAAGACUGUAGAUGCUCAAGGAAAGGCUUUCAUGGUCUUUCCAGGUCUAAUAUCCUGUGACUUUACAAGGCACUUUUAUCUUAUUUAAAUAACACCAAAUCACCAAGGACUGUGAACUCACAAAUCAAGGCAUGAUGAUGCAAGAGACUGGCUUUCUCUGAAUGUAGGGUCAGUUACAUUCUUUGCCCGGCCCAGUGUUAAAUGAAAACGUGGGUCCUUCCUUCAGCAGUUAUUACGGAUUUUAAAAUGGUGACAGGUAAGCAUUAAACCAAGGGUGGGGUCCCUCUGUGCAUGGGACCCUGCUCGAGUGGGGCACAGGGACUAUUGAGAUUCUACGGGUAUCUGUGACCGGGAUAGAGUAGGAUCCUUCAGCAAUCGGUUUAGAAAUCCCACCAGGGGAUGAAGGAUAGAAAGGGAAUUUUAAGGGCGUUUGGGAGACUGUUGGAAACUAAUGACACUCAAGAAGAGAAUCCAGUAACCUGGCAACAGUCUAUACCACCUUGAAGGAAGACCAAGUGCAUCUAAACACCAGACACACUCAAGCCGUGAACCCUAAGAGUUAAAACACAAGACAAUAGACAUGGGCUCUGAAUCUUGCCCACGACACUCCGGGUUAACUCAUACAGGGUCAAAAGAGGAGCUAAUGAGGUAGGCCUUGACGUCUACCCCCAAAUGAGGAAGAAGGUGGUCUUCCCCCUCCUUGCUUUUCCUUUGAUUAUAAAACGCAGCCCUCUCUGCUCUCGCGGCGGCUGUGCUCCCUCACCAGCCCGCUUGUAUCUCUCACAAGGGUCCUCUCUUAAUAAACACACUCUUCGCCUGCUGCUCUGCCUCACGGGAAAGUCUUUCUGUGAUGGGCUAAAAGAACAUGAGCUUCAGUAAGGCCUGACACCAAGUUAGCAGUUUUCAUUAAAAGACUGUUCUGUAACAGUCCUUGAGUCCUCUCCCAGUCGGGGAUUAUGGGUUCAAGACCCAAUCUGAGGUGCGGGUGGGUUCAAGUCCCAGCCUGUGGGAUGGAGUCCCAAUCUGAGUUUUGGCUGGGUUCGAGUCCCGCUCAAGAGGAAUAGGGUCUCAUGUGCAGGCCUUGGACUCCCAUCCUGUCUCCCUCCUGGUUCCUUCUCCAGUUCUGGCAGAUAGAGUUCCAAUAACAGGAUGUUCCAGUUAUUAAGUCUCUGCUGUUGAUGGAGGCUAGGCAACCAAAGCACAUGCGGAGUGACACGGACAGGUAUUCCAGGGUAUACUCUGGGCUUCUGCACUUUCCCAGUCUAGCAAAACAUCCUAAGAAAUCCAGACAGAAAAGGAACUAAAAGACUUAGGAUAUCAAGUUUCCUUUAUACACACAGUCUUGAGUCUAUAAAGUUAAAUAGGACCUUUGUCCAACUUUUCUCAUUUUAAUCAAGUUCUAUUUAGGCCAAGGGCAUGGGAGUGAAUUCUUGGUUGCAUAGCUCUAAAGCUAUGAUAAUUUUGAUGAACAAAUCAUAACGGAUGAUCUUUCAGAAAGAAAAUGUUAGCUUAAUGAAUGAUUCCUGUUAUAACACUUAUGGAUUUGCACAAGGCGCUGCCAGCCAUGCUAACAACAUAUGUAGUAUUUGAGUUGUUACAAAAUUUCAUUCAAAGCAAAGAGAGUGAGGCCAAUGUCUUCGCACUUGGAAAUCCUUGAACUUGGGAUCUAGAACAGUUAUAUACGAUACAGAACAAGGCAGAUGAAUCUAGGUAUGAAGAGAAUGGGUGGUUUAAGGCUAGAACUAAAAGCAUUUCCUUUACCAGAAGAUAGUCUAUUCUCCACAGAGAAUAGAUAGAGAGAUAGACAGACAGACAGAUAGUCAGAUACAUAAAAUAAACCCUUAUACAUUGUUCAUUAAGGGUCAGACAUUAUGCUAAAUAGUAUGAAAAUACUAAAUCAUUUAACUCUCAUAACACUCUAACAAUCGUUUGAGAUAAGUACUAUGCUUAUCCUCCUUUUUAAAGAUGGGGAAAUUUAGGAACAUCAAGAUCAAUUACCUUGCCCAAGGCUAAUUAAUAAGUAGUGGAAGCAGGAUUCGAACCCACGUAGGCUUGGCUCUAGCAGCGGCUCGCUCUAAACCACUAGAUCAUGAUGCUUGCCAGUAAUCUUCCACCAUGCCCAGACACCACUAACCCCACCCACCACUACACUGUAUACAACAAAAGUAAAACAGCAUGCAUUUAAGACACUGGGAGAUUUACGCUCCCAGCGCUGUAGCCAUAGCUGUGGCAAAUAUUUAUGUCAACGUUAUGGCUGAACUGAGGCUAAUUUCACAGAUGUUAAUUACCAUUACACAGCUGUGAUUCUGUACAAAUGAUGAGAUCUCAAAUAGCUUCAAUCCCUUUUCCACUACCACAGUGCUUCUCUAAAGAGUUAAGAGUACUUUUUCAUUUGCUGUUAUUGCUUUGAUUUAGAUUUAAGGACUAGGACUCAAAGACCACAAAGCCUCUCUCCUUUCUCUCCAAAAAAGAAUAAAACACCCUAUAAGACAACAGCCGAAAUAUGUAAAAGCUUUUUUUCUUUAAAAAAAAAAAAAACCUUACUUUCAUUCUAACAACUUUUCCUCUGUUAUGUCUAUUGUUUAUGAAGUCUUGGUACUAAAAUAAAGACACAAUUUAUUUCCAAGACCAUAGGGACAACUCUUCUUGGCUAGGAAAGAUGCAAUCCAUCAUUGUUUUUCAAGAGUUCUGCAAAGUAUGCAACUCGGCAUCAGGCAAAGAAGGAAAGCACUGCCUUCCCAUCUUUGCGAGGUCAUUGUCACAAAGCAUACAGUCUCAUGCAGCGGUAGAUUAGUUUAACUCAUACUGUCACGCCUUCCAGAUAUUCAACUAUUUGUACUUUGAGGAUGUUAUUCUAGUGGUAAAUAUUAAAUCUGAAUGGAAAAAAACUUUCAAAGAUCCUUCAAGGAAACCUGGACAUGUU